This 117-nucleotide ribosomal RNA is filed under the name Danio rerio (zebrafish). The record is from RNAcentral. Lineage: Eukaryota; Metazoa; Chordata; Actinopteri; Cypriniformes; Danionidae.
AGCCACAGCCAUAUCAUCCUGCAGCCCAAGACCAGUUACUCACUGAAGCUAAACAGGGAUGAGCCUGGUCAGUACCUGGAUGGGACACCACUUGGGGAAACUAGGUUGCUGUUGGAA